GAAACAGUACAGGACUGUAGCUCACAUUCAUUAAAUCACCCUAUAACAUCCAGAUGCAGGGUGGGUUUUUAACAACAUUCACUGGGCAUGGAAUGCCCAUCUAAGGCUGUUUUUGCUAACAUCAAUAGGGCAAUUUGCUCUUGCAGUUUGCACUCACUUCUUGCAAAUCCUCUCUUCUCUUUUGGAAAGGGAAGAUAUUCUUUGGUCAUCACUAAUUUAGUUGCAUUUGAUUCUUGAUCAGUUUUAAUUGUAAAGAAUUCAUUGUGGCUAAACCAUUGGGGGUUCUAGCUCAAUUUUGACAGAAGAGCUGUUGUUUUUUUUCAAACCUAGAGCUCAUGCAUGCUUUUGUGAAAUUCCCACUUGGAGUAAGUGUUGGUGUGUUUCUUUUUCUUUACUUGUUAUAUACUAGUUAAAGCUGAGAUAACCUGAGGAGAUAUUUUGGUCUGAUCCUUUGGCUUGUCCAUCUAACCCACAGCCGUUCGUGGUUAUGGCUAAAGUUGAUUUUUCACUUCUGGUAUGCUACUGCUGCCUUCUCCAUCUCGUCAAGUCUCUCUCU
Molecule: unclassified non-coding RNA, 556 nt
Filed under: Hevea brasiliensis (rubber tree)
Lineage: Eukaryota; Viridiplantae; Streptophyta; Magnoliopsida; Malpighiales; Euphorbiaceae
Source: RNAcentral